GCCGCUCAACAUCAUCCUCCUCCUCGUCGCUGCAGUCGGCCGUCUCCGUCUCCGCCUCCCGCUCCAGGCGGAAGAAGGGCGUGCCGCGGCGGAGCACGGGCGAGGUGGGCAGCGAGCGGCAGCGGGCGGGCAGCAGCAGAGCAGGGUGGCGGUGAGAGUCGCUGCCUCACAGCGCCAGGGUCCCGGGUUCGAUCCUGACCUCGGGUGCUGCCAAUGGGCGGAGAUUGCACGUUCUCCCUGAGAGCUCAUGGGUUUCCACAAGGUGCUCCAGUUUCCACCAGCGUGGGCUUGUAGGUUAAUUGCCCUCCACACUUCACGCUGCCUCGGCAAGGCCGCCAGCAUCAUCAAGAACCAGCGUCAUCCCGGACGCUCCCUCUUCUCCACUGUCCCAUCAGAUGCUGCCCGACUCGCUGAGUUACUCCAGCUUUUUGUGUCUAUCUUCGGUGUAAACCAGCAUCUGCAGUUCCUUCCUAAGCGUACACUAGUACUAGACCACACACGGGGGGUGAUAUACAGAAGCCAAUUAACCUACAAACUCGCACGUCUUUGGGAUUCCUUGUAAAGUCUAUGUGACUUUUAGCACCUCCUCCAAGUUAAAGGUUGACCGUCUAAGUUGGCGGAUCUGUAGUGGAUCAGGAGCCUAUCGAGGGAAAUCUUCUGCUAGACCUAUCUAUGGAGGAUUUGCAGAUGCCCAGCUGUUGACGAGAACACAUUCAGGCUACUGAACCAUCCUCUCAUCAACUAGAGAGUGGCCCUGACCUUCCAUCAACCUCAUUGGCGACCCUCGGACUAUCUUUAAUCGAACUUUUCUGCACUUUAUCUUGCACUAAACGUCAUCCCUUUAUCCUGUGUUUGUACACUAUAGAUAGCUUAAUUGUAACCAUGUAGAGUCUUUUUGCUGACUGGAUAGAACACAACAAAACUUUACCUUGGUACACGUGACAAUAAUAACAAACUACAAUAAACGUUCCACUGCAUAAACCUGAUGUUACAAUUCUAAUUUCUAAACCUAUUACGGGUGCUGUCUGUACGAAGUUUGCACGUUCUCCCCCUGACCUGCGUGGAUAUUUUCCAGGAUCCCCAGUUCCCACCCACACUCCAAAGAUGUGCUGGUUUGUAGGUUGAUUGCCUUCUGUAAAUUGCUCCAAGAGUCGAGGAUGCUGAAGUGGGAUAAUGUAGAACUAGUUGGCGUGGAGUCAGUGGGCCGAAUGGCCUGUUUCCUUGCUGUAUCUGUAAACUAUCUAAAGUAGUCAAUGAUCCAUCCAUAGAUCUCGGCAGCACACUAGCGCAACGGUAGAGUUGAUGCCUCACAGCGCAAGAGACCCAGGUUCAAUCCCGACUAUGUGUGCUGUCUGUUUGGAGUUUGCCCGUUCUCUCCAUGAGCUGCGUGGGUUUUGUCCAGGUGCUGUAGUUUCCUCCCACACUCCAAAGACGUGCAGGUCUGUAGGCUAAUUGGCUUGGUAACAUUGUAAAUUGUCGUGUAGGGUAGAGAUGAUCGCUGGUCGCUGCAGACUCGCUGGGUCGAAGGGCCUGUUUUUGCAUUGUAUCUCUAAAACUGAAACUAAAAGAAACUAAACCAGGCAGAGGGAAGGUCACAGAGGGAGGGAGAGCAGGGAGUGAGAGGAGAGAGGGGGUGAAGCAGAGUGGAGGAAUG
This is a long non-coding RNA of Leucoraja erinaceus (little skate), 1654 nucleotides long. RefSeq lists it as uncharacterized. NCBI's taxonomy places the organism in Eukaryota, Metazoa, Chordata, Chondrichthyes, Rajiformes, Rajidae. The record is from RefSeq and is a predicted model, not a curated record. The transcript has 4 exons.